This 77-nucleotide transfer RNA is filed under the name Prolixibacteraceae bacterium. Its description in RNAcentral is "tRNA-Phe". It matches the Rfam family "tRNA". Rfam says of the family: Transfer RNA (tRNA) molecules are approximately 80 nucleotides in length. The record is from RNAcentral. Lineage: Bacteria; Pseudomonadati; Bacteroidota; Bacteroidia; Marinilabiliales; Prolixibacteraceae.
GGUGCCAUAGCUCAGUUGGUAGAGNNAAUGGACUGAAAAUCCAUGUGUCCUUGGUUCGAUCCCGAGUGGCACCACCG